ACUCCUGCGGGAGGCAGCAGUGGGGAAUUUUGGACAAUGGGCGAAAGCCUGAUCCAGCAAUGCCGCGUGAGUGAAGAAGGCCUUCGGGUUGUAAAGCUCUUUUGUCAGGGAAGAAACGGUGAAAGCUAAUAUCUUUUGCUAAUGACGGUACCUGAAGAAUAAGCACCGGCUAACUACGUGCCAGCAGCCGCGGUAAUACGUAGGGUGCAAGCGUUAAUCGGAAUUACUGGGCGUAAAGCGUGCGCAGGCGGUUUUGUAAGUCUGAUGUGAAAUCCCCGGGGUCAACCUGGGAAUUGCAUUGGAGACUGCAAGGCUAGAAUCUGGCAGAGGGGGGUAGAAUUCCACGUGUAGCAGUGAAAUGCGUAGAUAUGUGGAGGAACACCGAUGGCGAAGGCAGCCCCCUGGGUCAAGAUUGACGCUCAUGCACGAAAGCGUGGGGAGCAAACAGGAUUAGAUACCCGAGUAGUCCCAUG
RNAcentral lists this ribosomal RNA (473 nucleotides) under uncultured organism. RNAcentral's name for it is "partial 16S ribosomal RNA". It matches the Rfam family "Bacterial small subunit ribosomal RNA", at positions 335 to 799 of the family's 1533-position model. The record is from RNAcentral.